RNAcentral lists this unclassified non-coding RNA (340 nucleotides) under fungal sp. Its description in RNAcentral is "partial internal transcribed spacer region". The stretch from base 1 to 46 matches the Rfam family "Eukaryotic small subunit ribosomal RNA", at positions 1786 to 1831 of the family's 1831-position model. Lineage: Eukaryota; Fungi. The record is from RNAcentral.
AAGUCGUAACAAGGUUUCCGUAGGUGAACCUGCGGAAGGAUCAUUAACACGUAUCCAACGUUAAACAACCCUGUGAACUUUAAGUCCCCUCUUGCAGCCCAUGAGGAACAGCAAUCCCGGUAAAUCAUUGCCAAACAGUUUUGAUUCGGGACCUGAAUGACAGUGUCACUGACUGUGUAAGGAUAACGCCUCACGGUUGCUAGAGGUCGAUCACCGACCGGCAGACAUGUCACAGGGUCACCACGCCCCUUAAUCACUCCACUUGAAAAUGCCCCGCCUAGUGGUAACGCGCUAGGUAAAAAAAACCGAACAACUGUUAACAAUGGAUAUCUUGGUUCUC